CUUGAAACACGGACCAAGGAGUUUAUCGUGUACGCAAGUCAUUGGGUAAAUAAAACCCAAUGGCGAAAUGAAAGUAAAAAGUUGAGUUGAUGUUAAAAAUUUAUUUUUUAAUUAUCUCUCGCUUAAGGGAAGAUGAAAAUUUAAUUAAUAAUAUAUUUAUAUAUUGUUAAUAUAAAAUUUUCGCACUCCCAGGGCGCUUGUUUCACGCUUUGCGUGUCAAUGCGCACCUAGAGCGUACACGCUGAUACCCGAAAGAUGGUGAACUAUGCCUGGCCAGGACGAAGCCAGGGGAAACCCUGGUGGAGGUCCGCAGCGAUUCUGACGUGCAAAUCGAUCGUCGGAGCUGGGUAUAGGGGCGAAAGACCAAUCGAACCAUCUAGUAGCUGGUUCCCUCUGAAGUUUCCCUCAGGAUA
RNAcentral lists this ribosomal RNA (413 nucleotides) under Sinea diadema. Its description in RNAcentral is "eukaryotic LSU rRNA". It matches the Rfam family "Eukaryotic large subunit ribosomal RNA", at positions 653 to 980 of the family's 3401-position model. Lineage: Eukaryota; Metazoa; Arthropoda; Insecta; Hemiptera; Reduviidae. The record is from RNAcentral.